RNAcentral lists this ribosomal RNA (565 nucleotides) under Tsukamurella pseudospumae. Its description in RNAcentral is "bacterial SSU rRNA". It matches the Rfam family "Bacterial small subunit ribosomal RNA", at positions 1 to 580 of the family's 1533-position model. The record is from RNAcentral. Lineage: Bacteria; Bacillati; Actinomycetota; Actinomycetes; Mycobacteriales; Tsukamurellaceae.
UUUUUUAUGGAGAGUUUGAUCCUGGCUCAGGACGAACGCUGGCGGCGUGCUUAACACAUGCAAGUCGAACGGUAAGGCCCUUCGGGGUACACGAGUGGCGAACGGGUGAGUAACACGUGGGUGACCUGCCCUGUACUUCGGGAUAAGCCUGGGAAACUGGGUCUAAUACCGGAUAUGACCUUUCCCUGCAUGGGGUUUGGUGGAAAGCUUUUGCGGUACAGGAUGGGCCCGCGGCCUAUCAGCUUGUUGGUGGGGUAAUGGCCUACCAAGGCGACGACGGGUAGCCGGCCUGAGAGGGCGACCGGCCACACUGGGACUGAGACACGGCCCAGACUCCUACGGGAGGCAGCAGUGGGGAAUAUUGCACAAUGGGCGAAAGCCUGAUGCAGCGACGCCGCGUGAGGGAUGACGGCCUUCGGGUUGUAAACCUCUUUCAGUAGGGACGAAGCGCAAGUGACGGUACCUACAGAAGAAGCACCGGCCAACUACGUGCCAGCAGCCGCGGUAAUACGUAGGGUGCGAGCGUUGUCCGGAUUUACUGGGCGUAAAGAGCUCGUAGGCGGUU